This 465-nucleotide ribosomal RNA is filed under the name uncultured bacterium. RNAcentral describes it as "partial 16S ribosomal RNA". It matches the Rfam family "Bacterial small subunit ribosomal RNA", at positions 339 to 795 of the family's 1533-position model. The record is from RNAcentral.
CUACGGGUCGCUGCAGUGGGGAAUAUUGGACAAUGGGGGAAACCCUGAUCCAGCAAUGCCGCGUGUGUGAAGAAGGCCUGCGGGUUGUAAAGCACUUUCGGUUGGGAGGACUGCUUCUAGCACUAAUAUUGUUGGAAGUUGACGUUACCUUCAGAAGAAGCACCGGCUAACUCCGUGCCAGCAGCCGCGGUAAUACGGAGGGUGCAGGCGUUAAUCGGAAUUACUGGGCGUGAAGCGCGCGUAGGCGGCUAGAUCAGUCGGGUGUGAAAGCCCCGGGCUUAACCUGGGAACUGCAUCCGAUACUGUCUAGCUUGAGUACAGGAGAGGAGAGUGGAAUUCCACAUGUAGCGGUGAAAUGCGUAGAUAUGUGGAGGAACACCAAUGGCGAAGGCAGCUCUCUGGCCUGAUACUGACGCUGAGGUGCGAAAGCGUGGGGAGCAAACAGGAUUAGAUACCCCGGUAGUC